GCCGGGGUGGGGUAGCCUGGUAUCCUGUGGGACUGUGGAUCCUUUGACCCGAGUUCAAAUGCCGUGGACUAUGUCCACUACAUUUUCAACCCAUAGUUACGGCUUGAAAAUCUCGGUCCCGGCCCCA
Molecule: transfer RNA, 127 nt
Filed under: Patescibacteria group bacterium
Lineage: Bacteria
Description: tRNA-His
Source: RNAcentral